GGAGGCGAACCGGGGGAACUGAAACAUCUCAGUACCCCGAGGAAAAGAAAUCAACCGAGAUUCCCCCAGUAGCGGCGAGCGGACGGGGAGCAGCCCAGAGUCAACAUCAAUAUUUACCGCAGGAGAAGGGUCUGGAAAGGCCGGCAAUAAAGGGUGAUAGCCCCGUAUCUGAAGCGGUAAGUGUUGUGAACUCGAAGAGUAGGGCGGGACACGUGUUAUCCUGUCUGAAUAUGGGGGGACCAUCCUCCAAGGCUAAAUACUCCUGACUGACCGAUAGUGAACCAGUACCGUGAGGGAAAGGCGAAAAGAACCCCGGCGAGGGGAGUGAAAUAGAACCUGAAACCGUGUACGUACAAGCAGUGGGAGCACCCGAAAGGGUGUGACUGCGUACCUUUUGUAUAAUGGGUCAGCGACUUAUAUUCUGUAGCAAGGUUAACCGCAUAGGGGAGCCGUAGGGAAACCGAGUCUUAACUGGGCGUUAAGUUGCAGGGUAUAGACCCGAAACCCGGUGAUCUAGCCAUGAGCAGGUUGAAG
RNAcentral lists this ribosomal RNA (534 nucleotides) under Arsenophonus endosymbiont of Trialeurodes vaporariorum. RNAcentral's name for it is "partial 23S ribosomal RNA". It matches the Rfam family "Bacterial large subunit ribosomal RNA", at positions 175 to 750 of the family's 2925-position model. The record is from RNAcentral. Lineage: Bacteria; Pseudomonadati; Pseudomonadota; Gammaproteobacteria; Enterobacterales; Morganellaceae.